Molecule: ribosomal RNA, 468 nt
Filed under: uncultured bacterium
Lineage: Bacteria
Description: partial 16S ribosomal RNA
Rfam family: Bacterial small subunit ribosomal RNA
Source: RNAcentral
GACGAACGCUGGCGGCGUGCUUAACACAUGCAAGUCGAACGGAAAGGCCCUGCUUUUGUGGGGUUCUCGAGUGGCGAACGGGUGAGUAACACGUGAGUAACCUGCCCUUGACUUUGGGAUAACUUCAGGAAACUGGGGCUAAUACCGGAUAGGAUCUCCUGCUGCAUGGUGUGGGUUGGAAAGUUUCGGCGGUUGGGGAUGGACUCGCGGCUUAUCAGCUUGUUGGUGGGGUAGUGGCUUACCAAGGCUUUGACGGGUAGCCGGCCUGAGAGGGUGACCGGCCACAUUGGGACUGAGAUACGGCCCAGACUCCUACGGGAGGCAGCAGUGGGGAAUAUUGCACAAUGGGCGGAAGCCUGAUGCAGAAACGCCGCGUGCGGGAUGACGGCUUUCGGGUUGUAAACCGCUUUCGCAUGUGACGAAGAGUGAGUGACGGUAAUGGGUAAAGAAGCACCGGCUAACUACGUG